RNAcentral lists this unclassified non-coding RNA (1519 nucleotides) under Hevea brasiliensis (rubber tree). Lineage: Eukaryota; Viridiplantae; Streptophyta; Magnoliopsida; Malpighiales; Euphorbiaceae. The record is from RNAcentral.
CGAAAGCCAAACCAGGGAAGAAGAAAUUUUCUCGCAUCUUCAUUCUUCCCCUUCAGAGAUUGAUUUGGCAGUUUGCUUUAAGAGCACAGGAAAACGAAGUUUUUCCGUUAAGUUUUUGAAUUGAUUUUGCAGCUGUAGUAUCCAGAUUUAUUAUGGAUUAAAAUCUUGAAUUCAAGGUUGAAAUGAGAUGCAAUGCUUGCUGGCGAGAACUGGAAGGACGAGCCAUUUCCACUACUUGUGGUCAUCUCUUGUGCACUGAAGAUGCCAGCAAGAUCCUUAGUAAUGAUGCAGCAUGUCCAAUUUGUGAUCAGGUGCUCUCCAAGAGCCUUAUGAAACCUGUGGAUAUCAAUCCAAAUGACGAAUGGAUAAAUAUGGCCAUGGCUGGAGUAUCUCCUCAAAUACUAAUGAAAAGUGCAUACAGAAGUGUGAUGUUUUAUAUUGGGCAAAAGGAACUGGAGAUGCAAUACAAGAUGAACAGAAUUGUAGCUCAAUGUCGGCAAAAAUGUGAAGUCAUGCAAGAAAAAUUCGCAGAAAAAUUGGAACAAGUGCAUACUGCAUAUCAAAAAAUGGCCAAGAGGUGUCAGAUGAUGGAACACGAGAUUGAGAGUUUGUCCAAGGAUAAGCAAGAGCUUCAAGAAAAAUUUUCUGAGAAGUCCAGGCAGAAGAGAAAGCUUGAUGAAAUGUAUGAUCAUUUGAGGAGUGACUAUGAGUCAAUGAAAAGAUCGGCAAUCCAACCAACAAGCAAUUUCUAUUCAAGAAAUGAGCCUGAAUUUUUCCCUAACCCAGCUGCUACCAUGAUGGAUAACAGAGACCCUAUCAGGAAAGAUUGGUCGGUUUUCACUCCUCCAACUCCAGGGCCUAGAGAGGAUAUAUGGCCAGCAAGACAGAACAGUUCUAAUUCUGGUCCCUUUGAAAUCUCUGGCGGCUCACCCGCAAAACAAUCGGCCAUUCCAAUUGAUGCUGGAAACAGAAGGGCUGGUGUUCACCCUGCUUUUGGAGCUGGAGCUGGCAAUACCUCAAUGACACUAAGGAACUUGAUUCUCUCCCCAAUAAAGCGACCUCAGCUCUCUCGUAGCCGCCCUCAAAUGUUCACGCUAUAAGCUUCAAGUCAGUGUUCUGCAGUUGGCUGGCCUUGUGAUGCUUUCUAGUUGUAAGAAAUCCUUCCUUUUCUUUUUCUCAUUUUUCCCCUCCUGAGUUAUAGAGAAAGAAGAAACAAGAUAGGAAACCGGUGGUGGUCCAAUAGGAACAUAUUAGUAAGUAUACAUGUGAAUUUUGUUUCCUGGAUUGACACAGACUUUCCUAUAGUUACACUACAAUCUCUGUAAUUACAUUGUGUUGGAUGGCUAGAGGAGGGCCCAUCAAAAGUUUACAGAAUUACUCCUUUAUUGCUUUGAUGUCACAAAAAGUAAUGUGGAGAUGUAAAAAGGCAAACUAGUUGCUUACUUUUUUUUUCCUCACGCGGUUGGGAAUCUCUGGACUGGAAACCAAAUUUGAUGUCCUUGUGUUUGCAAGGGAAGUA